GUUUCAGAGGUCCACGUUUUGACGACUCUUCGGAGAUUGCAUCAGUGAGUUCGGGAGAAAUAUAAGAGCCAAAACAGAAGGAGAGCGGGGCAAUUCUAGGGUAAGCGGAGAUUGAUUUCAGGGAUAUAAGGUCAGUUUGAGUCCGGGAGAAGUUGAAAGGUGGAUGCGGCCAUGAAAGAGCCGUAGUGAGCGAUAUCGACAUCACAGGUAACCGUCGUAACAGCAUUUUUACGGCUUGUAUUGAGGAAGCAAGUCAACCAACCAGGGUACCAGGCGGAAGAGCAAC
This 286-nucleotide unclassified non-coding RNA is filed under the name Hevea brasiliensis (rubber tree). The record is from RNAcentral. Lineage: Eukaryota; Viridiplantae; Streptophyta; Magnoliopsida; Malpighiales; Euphorbiaceae.